This is a non-coding RNA of Lolium perenne, 5369 nucleotides long. The record is from RefSeq and is a predicted model, not a curated record. Lineage: Eukaryota; Viridiplantae; Streptophyta; Magnoliopsida; Poales; Poaceae.
GCAAUAAUCAUUGUAGUAGUACUAAAGAUUAGGAAACUGAGAAAAAGGAGUUCAGUUUUAUUUUGGUUAGUACUCGUUCACAGUAUCUUGAACCACCUCAGCAGUGGCUUCUUUGCACUACAUUUCCCCUCUCCUUCACCAACCGUCUAAAGAGAUUGAGGCUGGCUUGUCAUGCCCACACCUGCACUGUUGGGUGCUCCCUGAUUCCUCCAGACGGAAGUUUCAAACAAAUGGGUAGUAAUCCUGUUAUCUCCACGCACCUCCUAUCUCUAUUGUUUUCUGCAUAGUUUAGUGCCGGGAACAUAUCAUGUGAAAACAAGAUAGAUUCUGAAAAUCUGAAAACUUCCGUCCCUAGCCCUUGGAUCAUGUUCUAAGGGUCGGAUUUGAGUCUUUGUCCUCCCACCAAUCCCUUGCUGCACAUUUUCUAGAAACCCCCUUGACCUGGCAUGCUAGUAAUUUCAAGAUGUUUCAUUUGCUCAGCCCAACGAGGAAAACAGAUUCUUGACACACACAGGUGUUUAAUCAACGGGACCAUCUUGUGAAUAUUUAGACCAAGAACUGGAAUCCUCUCAUAAAGAACACAACCACGAACAGGGGAGCACAUCUGAUUGCAAAUUUCAACAAAUCGAAAAUCAAGAAAUAGGAAAUCCAAGACAGUUGGUUCCCAGAAUAUUAAGAUCUGCUCUUUGUGUCCACCAGAUCUGUGCGGCCACUCCAUACAAAAUCGAGAGUGCUGCGUUGGACUUUCGUCGUCGAGGAAAUCGUCUCCUGUCGCCGGGAAUCACUUCCGGCCGCAGUGGAAAGAUGGGGAAGAGCACAGCCAUGAGACUGAUGAGAGGAAGAUCUGAUGGCUCUCUGUUGUACUUCUAGAGGGCCUUUGUGCAAAACGAGUGGAGGUGGGACUGAGGUGGGAAAUCUAAGUGUAGGUACAUGAUCCAGCGGUGCAAAACAACAUUUUCAGAUUUUCAGAAUCUGUCUGUUUCCACCUGAUACGCUCCCGUUUAGUGCCCCCCUAAUGAACAGCUAUGAUCUAUGUAUUCUACUCCCUCCGUCUCAGUUUACUAGUCUUCCCCGUAUCCCUAGGUCGCCAAUUUAACCUAUAUAAUUUAAAUUAUAUAAUACACAAAUUAUAUCAUUAGAAAAUAGAACAUCUAAACUUUCUAAUGAUAUAAUUUUUAUAACGUAUAACUAAUGCGAACUUGAUUAAAUUAAAUUUGCGACCUAGGGGUACGCGCACGCCUAAUAAACUGUGAGAGAGGAAUUAGCUAGAACACACCAUAAUGUAAGUCAUAUAGAUUUGUUGAUGUCAUUCAAUAAUUCAUAAUUUAAUGGCCUCUUCAUUCAUUCUAUUGAUAGUUAUGUUCAUAGAAUGAAGAUAAUUUUCAAUGUAAACUUUGCACAAAGGCCAAAUCCUUUUUUUGCUGGUCAGACUGAAAUUGGACUGGAAAUUUUUCAGUAGUUUUCUCUAUGACUUAACUCUUUCGAAGAGCUAAUUUUAGAAGCUCUGAAGAAAAGGUAAUUUUCAUAACACCUGCAAUCUACAUCCUAUUAAGCAUCACAAAUUUACCGUGGAUCACUUAGUUGUGGAUAUUCCGAGGUCUACAUUCCCUUUCUGCAUAUAUAAUUUUAGAGUUGCAGCCAUAAGCAUAUUCAACUGUAUUUUUCUACUUUAGCCUGCAAAAGAUGGUGUAAAUAAUCGUCUUGAGAUUAUCUCCCUAGGUGGUAUUUACUGAUUUAACAUGUUCAAAUAUUAUUUCUCUCCAUAAGAUACUUGCACCUUGGUGGGGCACCCUGAGUUUGUGGUGGCAUGGUAGUACAGCUGGGCAUGGGCAGCCCGGCCCGGACGACCCGGCCCGAAAAUCCCGGGCCGGGCCGGGUCGGGCUUGCACUUCGGGCCGGGUUCGGGCUUGUAUUUUGAGCCCGAACGUCGGGCCGGGCCGGGCUCGGGCUUGCAGUUUUUACACUUUAGGCAGGUUUGGGCCGGGCUUCUCGGCCGGGCCGGGCUUUUGUCUAUUCAGGCCGGGUUCGGGCUUAAUUUAUAGGCCCGACGGUCGGGCCGGGCCGGGCUCGGGCUUGGCAUUUUACGUUCGGGCUUUUUCGGGCUUGGCCCGAAGCCCGGCCCGGCCCGAGUUUUGCCCAGGUGUACUGGUAGACUAACCUUGGCUAUUGUUUGUGUUUUGUCAUUGCUUUCUUUUGUUAGAUUUAUGACAUGUAUUUUUUUCCUGAUUCUUCUCUUUUUGAACUUCAUGUAUUUUAAUAAUGAGCCAAUAGUACUGAUAUUUUGUGAUUUUGGAGCAGCCACAAUGUGGGUAGAAUCAAGUUUACUAAGAACUAAGUGAAAUAAUAGAAUACAUAUGCUCUUUAUUUGUAGAACCAUUGAAUAUUAUGAUUCUCUAGAAUUUCUAGAUGUUCUUUUUGUGUCUUACUUUAUAGGUUACUUGCAAGUGGAAAAUAUAGCAUACAUUUUCCUUUCCUUUAUACAGUUAGCUUACUGCUUAAAACUAUCAAACCAAAAAGUUCCAUGUAACUAGCUAAAUAGUUCUUGAUGCUUACUUCUUGGGACAAAAAAGUUAAAUCUAACUUGCUACAUCAUAAUGUGAUCCUGGUUCCUUUUCAUCUACUUGUGCAAAAGCAUUGGCCUCCACACGAUAGAUGUCUUCACCGUACUUUUAGUUUGUGUCUUCAUUUUAUUCUUGUGCUGGACUUUCAACAGUGCACAUGCAGUUUCAUCGAAAGGAUGGCAAAGGUUCGGCCCUAUGUAUUGCGUUAGUAGCCUUGGUAAUUAAUAUAUUUGCAUACUUUUUUAACUUUAAAAAUAUUCAUCUGUUUUCCACUCAAAAAUCUAUACUCAAUGGCUGAAUAAUAUUAGACAGCUCGUACUACAUGUGAUUAUAAGAGUUGGAAGAUAGAAAAAGGAAUACUUAUGUUUUGUAGUGUGGUGUAUAUGCACUGCUCGCCCUUUGUUUUUACUCAAUGGAUAUGUAUCAUUUUUUGAUUCCUCGAUGUAGUGGUGUUGUCCUGUAGGCCUUGGUUUCCUGAUUGAGUUGUUUUACUCUACAGUUCUAGGUAUAGAUCAUAUGUUCUUCUAUUCAGUUCAACACUUCUACAUUUUACAUUUGAGUGAGAAUCUGAGACGCAUUGUGAAAUUUUCUGAAAAUAAAUAUUUCGCUGCAACAAUCAUCAGCAUUCAGUGAUACGCGCACGUCAAUGGUCAAUUUCAUAAAAGCUGUAACAUAAUGGUAUUGUACUAAUGUGUGUUUCCUGACCUAUAGAAUUAAUAUGCAUACGCUACUCACUGCCAUUGUUAUUGUACUGCAGUUAAAAGAUGACAAUAUGUUAAUUUAUUCUUUGACUCUAUUUUUUGGGGUUGCAUUUAUAGGAUAAUUAUUAUUUAGGGGUAGCUGCAGUUGCUCACAUUUUUUCAGUUUGAGAUCCUACUUUCAGGUUUCGUGUGUGCUCAUUCUUUGUGUAGAUGCCGAAAAAGUUAAUUUGGAUGGCAAGAUAUUCCACUGUGACCCAACAUCUCUAUAUGUUCCUUGUGGCCUUCCCUACAUCUCUUUUUAUUUGAAAACUUAUUGGUUUGAUGAUGGAUCUUUAUAAACUACUUUACAUUUUACAUGAGGUAGUAGUAGGUCAUGGGAUUGCUUAUCAUGAUCUUAUUUUCAGUUGAAAAUAUUAUUUGGGUAACUUCUGCUUUUAUAUUAUAUAGUAAUUAUUAAGCUUUAAGACAUGUCAUUCUAGAAAGGCGAGCAAAAGCUUCUUUGCUUCAUGUUGGUUCGAUCGGAACUUAUUUCAACAUUUUCUCUCGUAAUAGUAACUAGAAUAUGAACCUUCCAUUUACCUUCUAUGGGACCAGCUCUCAGUUUAACAUGUCUUAUUCCAUUGGUAAGCAGUGAAAGGGUCUUCGUAGGUCAAUUUUUAUGUAUGACACAUCUACUUGGCACAAACCCAUUUGAUACUACAUCCUGAAUGUUGCAUCACAUUAUGAGACUAUCAGUUUUCUUUCUUUUUCAGCUUGCUGGAAUUCUUAAUUAGGGAUUUAAGGUUGUAUGUUGUAAUAUUCAUCACACUGGGGGGCUCAUGGCUGCUCUAUUAAAUUGGUUAGAUACAUCGAGCCAAAAUAGUAAAAGGAAAAUGCAUAAUACUCUUUAUCACUUACCGGAAACAUCGGUCAUGGUUUGUUGUGGAUUUCCAUAGUUCAGCUGGUGGUAAAUUGGAACACUUUGGUUAAUGUUACUUCUCUGGUUAUGAAAUGUGUAGCAUAAAUCAGUCCACUGAAAACAAUCCACAACACUAAAGCUAUUUUUCACCUGACAGAUAUGCAUAGGUUUUGCCAUCCCUCUUUAUUGUGCUAACUUGCUCUGCCUUCAGAUUAAACUAGAAAAAUAUUUCUUUUCUCAACUGUUAGUAUCUGAAAAUUGUGCGUAAAAUUAAUGUUUAGCGGUGUGCUAGAAAGAAUCAGGAGCAACUCUCAGUUUGUGGAUAAUUAUAAUUAGGUCAACACCUCUUACUUGUAGAAAACCAUUGCCGGCUUAUGUUGUCUUAAGUUGGCACUUUAGAUUCUUAAUCAUUAGCACACAUGGUUUUUGUAGUUUGCACCUUUUGUUGCUAUCUUUACCCUUAAGAAAAGCACAAUCAUGAUAUAUGCGGCAUCCAUUGUUAUGUUAGUAUUAACUGAAGAUUGAUUCCCCCGAACUAAUACUUUCUCUCUCUGCUCCAUGCUAGCAACUCGAUGGAAACCGUCAAGAUCCGAUCUACCGUUAUAGUAGAGGCCAUACUGGAGAAGCUAUGCCUUCCACGCCCCAAGUAUCAGAGACGUAUAUUAGAAGGAAGUCAAUGUGUGGUGGUGACUGUUGUGUUUUACCGCUCUAUGCAGCAACUUGAGUGCUUUGCCACUCAGUCACUGUCCAGCGACCUUUCAGAUUCUUUAGAGACAUUCAAGAACAAUAUUGCAGUCCAAGCAAUCAAAUACAUGGAGAUGGUUCAGAAGGCCGUGAAAGACUUCAGCCACACCAAGUUGGAAAAGAAAAAGGGAAAUGAAGUAUUACUGACAAAUAAAGAGAAGGAUGAGAAGAUCGGAUAGAAGGACAAGCAGCUCAAACAGGUUACCAGAUCUUUGGGAUGGUUUCAUAAAUCUGCUGCAACCAAUCUAUUUAUUCUGUCGAUGCCACAUCUCUCUCCGCACAAAACCUACAUCAACUGUGGUUGCUGUACUUCAAAGAGGAGUUCAAUUUCCCAAGUAUAUUAUAUUAUCAAAGUUUGUAACAGGUUCUCACAUGAUCCUUUUCUGUUUUCAAGCAUAGAUGUAAAAAACUAAAAACAUGUUCAAACAUACUCCAAUUUCCAAACAAUACUGUGUCUGUUUAUAA